UUCAACCAUAAUUCUUAUUAUUCCUAUUAUGUAUAUUUUUAAAAAUGUGAUAUGAUAUUUAUGUUGAUAUAAUAAUGAGGUACGAUAUAAUUUUAAAUAUGAAGCCUUAGGCCCACACGCUGCAGCAAGGCUAAUUGAGGAGGAGAGGGUUCAUCACACUUACCUUAGUCCACGUGCUCAGAUCACUUAUUCUUCUCACAAAUCACAUGGCCUAAGAAUACUACCUCCUCCACACCAGAAAUUGCCUCUGGCGGUGGCGGAGGGCGAAACCCCACUAACCUUAUACCAUCUUGAUCGUCUAAUCCUUUCCUAUCACUAUCCAAGCUUGUUUUUAUAUCAAUUUCCACUCAAACCUUUAAAUCCAACCAAACUAAGGAUGAACCCUAAGUCAUGAAUUAGAAAAUUAAACGCAACAAUAAAGGAAUCAAAGUGUAUCCUGUUAGGGCUUUGAUUCCUCAAAUCAAACCUCAAGUGGUGGCGACUUGGAGUAACGCAAAAGGAUGAGGAUAAGCCUACCUACGAGAAAGCGUCUUGUCCCGGUAAUCUCUGCAAUGGAGAAGAUGAUGGGAAUUCCAGACUUCAGAGUUGUUGCAGUCAAUUUUUUAUCUGGGUUGUACCAUCAGGGCUUUAGCAGACAAUUUCUCAACCAAACAAAUGAUUUACACCACAACCAGGGCGCAAUACAACAACUGAAGAGACACAUUCUUUUCCAUACUUUGACGCCACAUGCUUCUUCACAUCCUCGAGCUCAUGUGUGUCUGACCAUCUUGGAGUUGUAGCUAUGACACUAGAAACUGCUUCCUUCAAGUUAAUGGGGCAAUUUUGUGAUUCAAUCAUAGGUAGGCAUAUAUGGCAUGGAAUUGGAUGACAAGGCAUCAUAUGGAUCAUGAGGAAUCUUGGACAACAUGAAGCAAUUGAAGAUAGGAUAUGGUUUAGAAUUAGAUCAAUUGUCUUUGGCCAACUGUUUGACCAAAAAGUCAACAGUUAACUAGAGGCAAUUGUAGGUCAAAAAUAUAUAACUUGCAUGGAAUUUUGUGAUAUGUAUUUUGGUGUAAUGUAACUUGAAUGACUUGUAAUUCAAAAUGCCUUUCUUGAACGAAUGUAUGUAUGUAACUUGUUUCCUAAGCAAUAAUGUUUCACUUCCAAUUGAGUAACUAAA
Lathyrus oleraceus (garden pea) is the source of this 1159-nucleotide long non-coding RNA. RefSeq lists it as uncharacterized. Lineage: Eukaryota; Viridiplantae; Streptophyta; Magnoliopsida; Fabales; Fabaceae. The record is from RefSeq and is a predicted model, not a curated record. The transcript is spliced from 3 exons.